CAAAAUCCCCAACCUAAUAAAAACCCUUCAACCUCACUUUUGUGCGUCAUCCCCUUCCCAGCCGCCUCCCCAUUUCUUUCAUUUUCCCAUUGUCUUCUUCAACAACAAUUUCUCUCAAACCAACGAAAUCAUUGGCUAGAUAGUCCGGCGCCUUCUCUCUUUCCAGGUAUGUUUAUGCAUUUACAUUUUAGAAUUUUUCAAUCCCAUACGCCUACUUGAUUUGAAAUUUUAGAUUUAUAUUAUAAUAAUUUGAUAGAUAUGGUGCAGUAUUGUGAUAGGUAUUGAGUGGAACCUUCAAGAUUAUAAUUUAAUGUUGGGAGGAGCCACAGUUCGUCGAAAAGACAUUACAAAUAUAAAUUAGAUGAAAAUCCUUUCAAAAGUUAUAGAAAAGUAUUCAGGUUUGUUUUUUUAUCUUGUUGCUUUGAAUUUUUUCCUCUUGUUAUAUGCUAAAAAUUCUUGUAAUAGAAGUAUCUAGACAUAAUUUUUCUCUCUUUGAACUUUCAUUUUGUAUUUUUACAAAUCAAACUUGCAUAUUUGUAUUAAUGGUUCCCUCAUUCUUUAGUGCUAAUUUUUGUUUCUUUUGAAUUUGCAGGGUGCAUUUUAAUCUGUUAAAUGCAAGCAGAUCAAAGAUCAGUCUUGAUGCAAAGAGUGAAAUUACUUUAUCGUUGCUAAUCCAGUGGCAACAUCUUUAGCUACGACGUAGAAUACCUCGAUCCAUCCGAUUUUGAAUAAAAAUAUUUGGCACUUCACCGCUACAUAAAUUGAGUGCAUUCAAAUUCAGAAAUGAAAGCACAUAAAAAUGGGAGGAAACUUGUUCAUGGCACACCCAUAUUUAUCUUGUUAAAAUUCACGGGAAUGUAUAGGAAAAUUGUGUCUUUAGUUUAAAAGUUGGUGGUUAACAAUGAAGGGUCACAACUUUUUAGAAAAGGCACAAUAUUAAUUAAUAUUUCUGUAGAUAUUUAUUUAAUUAUUGUUAAAAGGGUAUAUUGGUAAUUUAACUUUUUAGUUUGGGGCUUUCCACUUUUAAUAUAUAUAUAUAUAUAUAUAUACUAGUAGUUUCUAGGCAUGUGCAUUGCACGUGUACACCUAAUCAUGUAGCACACGG
This 1105-nucleotide long non-coding RNA is filed under the name Nicotiana tabacum (common tobacco). Its description in RNAcentral is "long non-coding RNA (NTAB_LNC007989)". The record is from RNAcentral. Lineage: Eukaryota; Viridiplantae; Streptophyta; Magnoliopsida; Solanales; Solanaceae.